This 475-nucleotide ribosomal RNA is filed under the name Coradion chrysozonus (goldengirdled coralfish). Its description in RNAcentral is "partial small subunit ribosomal RNA". It matches the Rfam family "Bacterial small subunit ribosomal RNA", at positions 788 to 1491 of the family's 1533-position model. The record is from RNAcentral. Lineage: Eukaryota; Metazoa; Chordata; Actinopteri; Chaetodontiformes; Chaetodontidae.
CACUAUGCCUAGCCGUAAACAUUGACAGUACAUCACACCCACUGUCCGCCCGGGAAUUACGAGCACCAGCUUAAAACCCAAAGGACUUGGCGGUGCUUUAGACCCACCUAGAGGAGCCUGUCCUAGAACCGAUAAUCCCCGUUAAACCUCACCCUUCCUUGCUCUUUCCGCUUAUAUACCACCGUCGCCAGCUUACCCUUUGAGGGACUAAUAGUAAGCAAGAUCGGUACAACCCAAAACGUCAGGUCGAGGUGUAGCGUAUGGAAGGGGAAGAGAUGGGCUACAUUCACUAAUACAGUGAAUACGAAUGAUCACUCUGAAAUGAGUAUCUGAAGGAGGAUUUAGCAGUAAGCAAAAAGCAGAGUGUUUUGCUGAAGCUGGCUCUGAAGCGUGCACACACCGCCCGUCAUUCUCUCCGAACUAUUCUAAAAAAAUAACUAAUACCCUAAAACUGUAAAGGGGAGACAAGUCGUAA